UACAGAGGGUGCGAGUGUUGUUCGGAAUCAUUGGGCGUAAAGGGCGCGUAGGUGGUCUGGUCAGUCAGAUGUGAAAGCCCUGGGCUUAACCCAGGAAAUGCAUUUGAUACUGCCAGACUAGAGUUCGGUAGAGGAUAGUGGAAUUCCCGGUGUAGAGGUGAAAUUCGUAGAGAUCGGGAGGAACACCAGUGGCGAGAGCGGCUAUCUGGGCCGACACUGACACUGAGGCGCGAGAGCGUGGGGAGCAAACAGG
RNAcentral lists this ribosomal RNA (253 nucleotides) under uncultured bacterium. Its description in RNAcentral is "partial 16S ribosomal RNA". It matches the Rfam family "Bacterial small subunit ribosomal RNA", at positions 524 to 776 of the family's 1533-position model. The record is from RNAcentral.